AUAUAUAUAUAUUUCAUUUAUUUACAGUUUUCUUUUAUUUUAUGUAAUUUUAACUAUUUAAAAAUAUUUAUUGUAAUUAUAUUAUUUUAUGAAAUACUAAAAAUAAAAUACCCACGAGGCUUAUGCCCCGUGCCUUGGGGCUCACGCCUCACCAAGGCAUAUGUAAACACCCCGCCUUACGUCCCCGCCUUUUAAAACACUGCUUGAAAGCAUAAAUAUAUUUUUUUAUCACGAGAUUUCAUCAUAAAUUGACUAGUUUUACACUGGCUGUUGCCCUAAACUUAAAAAAUCUUUAGAAGCAGUUCAACUUAAAAAGAAUUCUUACAGACUAACAAGACAGAAAGAUCUUGGAAAACAAGUGGCAAGUGUUGAACGAUUCGACCUUUUCAUCAAUGUAGAUUGCUCAAAAUGUGGCAAUAGCGCUAUCGUUAUGAUCAGAAGUAAACAUGGAGGAGCUGUCUUUCCAGAACUCAUCUAUGUAUUGGAUGAUGACAAGUGACUCACAACUAGGCCUAUGGUCAUGAAUGAGAACUGGAAUCUUGUUAUGAAUAGGAUUAGAGUUUUGAAGGAGCUCACUUUUGUCAAUUUUUUUUUUUUUUAUGAGUUGAUGCCACGAAAUUUGAUUAACCAUGUACCUAGAAGCUUCAUAUCACUUGCUGUGAUGGCUUGACUACCAGAACUAGAACCUUUAUAUCGGAAAAGGAUGAAUUUGAUACAAGAGGUUCUAGAGUGGACUGUAUAGUAUUUAUUUAUAGCCUGAUUUAGUUGAUCUGCAAUUGAUUUACCUGUCAUGGUGAUAAUUUAAGUAUAAGCUACUUGCAAAUUGUAGAAGAUGAGCCAUUUUUACAUAUUUUAGAACUGCAACUAUUGUAGAAGUGUAAUCUUACCAUUUGUAUAGCCAUUUUCUUAAUAGACUUUAUAACUGAAACUGGGGCUGAAAAGGAUUAUGUCAUUAUGAUUUCAUCUUUAGAUUCAUAUCUUUCUAGCAAUCUUACCAUUUUUAUAAGAACUCCUUUAUCUGCAACUAUUGUAAGUGGUGGUUAAACAAAAACUAUAUUUCUACUAUGUCAUUGAAGUCUUAAAUCUUCCAAUAUUUUUUUUUUUACAAAAACCUCUAAAAACAUUUGACAUUGUUAAACCUCAGUCUACUUGCAGAAUAACAUUCAUUAACACAUUAAAUUAAAUCUUCAGUCAACCAUAGCUCAUCUUGGAAGUGCUAGAGUGCGGAGCUUAUUCCCACCAUUGAACUCGGGUCGUGGGACUGAACCUAAAUUAUAGUCAAAUAUCUAGAAAAAGUAUGCAUUUCCAUUCCUUGCCUCUAAUCUACUCAGAGCUGGCAAACCUAAAAAUAUAUCGUCGAAGCAGAGUUCCUCACUGAAGCUAUUAGAUAGUGGACAGACCAGAUUGUAUUUCCCUUUGUAGUGGAAGAGUUUAGUGUAAUUUUAGUUCUUAAGUCAUAAAAGCUAUAUGCAACAUAUAUGUAUAAUGUAGAUCAACAUCUUGGAAUUCAAAAAAAUAUUCAUUUGUUUAGUUCAUUAAUAGGAACAAACUUCUUUUAUUCUCA
Molecule: long non-coding RNA, 1564 nt
Organism: Lycium barbarum (goji berry)
Lineage: Eukaryota; Viridiplantae; Streptophyta; Magnoliopsida; Solanales; Solanaceae
Exons: 2
Source: RefSeq, a predicted model, not a curated record